AUGGCACUCAGCUCUAAGGCUCCUAAUGAGCUAUCCCAACAGAUAGAAGAAGAAAUAAUAAUAAUAAUAAUAAUAAUAAACUUUAUUUGUAUCCAGCCACCAUCUCCCCAAAGGAAUUCGGGGCAGCUUACAAAAGCAUCACAAAGUGCAGCAUACAAUAUAAAAUGGUACAUGAAUAUAAAACAAUAUCUCAUAAAAUCAUAGAAAUUAUUAAUUAAAAAGUAUAAUAACAACCACAGUAAACACAAAUAACAUAAAAUGGAAAUGGCACAAUUUAAAAACACCUAAGGAAACUCGCUUCCAUCAAUUCACAACUAAAUUGCCAAAGUGUUAACCUCAAAUGCCUGCUUAAACAUCCAUAACAAGAGGUCCAGGAAUAUCAUCUUCAGUUUAAGGAAUUAUAUUUAGAGUUCCAUUUGGACCAAGACGUUGAGACUCAAGUGUGGAUCAUUAUUUAGCCACUGAAACCAAUUGGAUGAGCUUGGGCAGGGCAAAUUCUUUCAUCCUCAGAGAAUGGCAAUAGCUAAUUUCCUCUGAAUAAAAUCUUGCUAAGAAAAUCUUGUGAGAAAGGCACCAUAGUCACUGAAUGAGAUGAAAGCAUAUCACAAUAACAGAAAGAGAAUUCCAGUGUCUCACCAAUCUAUAAUCACCCCCAAUCUAUAAUCACCAUAGGAUGUUAUAUAAUGUGAAAGAACUGAAGAAUAAGGCAACUUUCUAUCUUCUUUUGAAGUGUAUGGAAUCCAACAAGAAAAAAAUAUCACAAUUAUGACUUGGUGCCUUUUAAAAAAAUGAUUAAUAAUUUUAUAGAAUUAUGUUUUUUAAGAAUUAUUAACUCAUCAACACAGGUGUACAAAUUCACAGUAACACUCUCAGGGUAUUGAAAAGGUACUUACUUUCAAAACACUUGGAAGUUCUUGCCCACUUAGAAGUUGGGUUGAUAUUUACACAGUAAUAAAGACUCUCAAGCAGUUAAUAAUUUGGUCUUGAUGUAGGAAAAAGUUGCACAUAUGUGAAAGCUGGCAUGGUGGUUUAAAUGUUGGAAUAACACUCUGGGAUACCAGGGCUCAAAUGCCCACUUGGCCAUGAAAACCCAUUGGGUGACCUUGGGCAGGUCAAAUUGUCUCAGCCACGUAUGAUGACAAUGACACACCCCUUUGACUAAAUCUUUUUAAAAGUCUCAAUCUGUGAAUAGUUCUCUAAUUUUCUGUGCAACACAUUUAUUUUCUGUGCAAAAACCUCCAUGUGCAUUUAUGCAAAGUAUACAUCUGGACCUGCAAAGAUUACCUCCUCCCUCCAGUAUCCUCUUUAUCAGGGUUUCCUAACACUCAGAAAAUCAAUUUCCAACCCUAUCAUUCAAAUAUUUUUUACAUAUUUUACAGGCCUAAUGCCUAGCUUCACCUUUUUCUGAACUGUUAUUUUGGCAAUACCCCUCUCUCAUAAAAGAUUAAGAUGUUUGUGGGACACAGCAGGGCUUCAUCUGCUGGGUCUUAAUGUCUUUGUAUAAGGGACAGGUUUAUGGAAGGAACCCCUUCUAAGCAAUGGGUAGUCUUUGAAUAAUGGGGUGGGAGAA
RNAcentral lists this long non-coding RNA (1570 nucleotides) under Anolis carolinensis (green anole). RNAcentral describes it as "lncRNA (ENSACAG00000034805.1)". The record is from RNAcentral. Lineage: Eukaryota; Metazoa; Chordata; Lepidosauria; Squamata; Anolidae.